GAGCUGGGGGGCGUGCUUACCAUGCAAGUCGAACGAUGAAGCCCAGCUUGCUGGGUGGAUUAGUGGCGAACGGGUGAGUAACACGUGAGUAACCUGCCCUUGACUCUGGGAUAAGCCUGGGAAACUGGGUCUAAUACCGGAUAGGAACGUCCACCGCAUGGUGGUUGUUGGAAAGAUUUAUCGGUCAUGGAUGGACUCGCGGCCUAUCAGCUUGUUGGUGAGGUAAUGGCUCACCAAGGCGACGACGGGUAGCCGGCCUGAGAGGGUGACCGGCCACACUGGGACUGAGACACGGCCCAGACUCCUACGGGAGGCAGCAGUGGGGAUUAUUGCACAAUGGGCGAAAGCCUGAUGCAGCGACGCCGCGUGAGGGAUGACGGCCUUCGGGUUGUAAACCUCUUUCAGUAGGGAAGAAGCGAAAGUGACGGUACCUGCAGAAGAAGCACCGGCUAACUACGUGCCAGCAGCCGCGGUAAUACGUAGGGUGCGAGCGUUAUCCGGAAUUAUUGGGCGUAAAGAGCUCGUAGGCGGUUUGUCGCGUCUGUCGUGAAAGUCCGGGGCUUAACCCCGGAUCUGCGGUGGGUACGGGCAGACUAGAGUGCAGUAGGGGAGACUGGAAUUCCUGGUGUAGCGGUGGAAUGCGCAGAUAUCAGGAGGAACACCGAUGGCGAAGGCAGGUCUCUGGGCUGUAACUGACGCUGAGGAGCGAAAGCAUGGGGAGCGAACAGGAUUAGAUACCCUGGUAGUCCAUGCCGUAAACGUUGGGCACUAGGUGUGGGGACCAUUCCACGGUUUCCGCGCCGCAGCUAACGCAUUAAGUGCCCCGCCUGGGGAGUACGGCCGCAAGGCUAAAACUCAAAGGAAUUGACGGGGGCCCGCACAAGCGGCGGAGCAUGCGGAUUAAUUCGAUGCAACGCGAAGAACCUUACCAAGGCUUG
Molecule: ribosomal RNA, 938 nt
Filed under: Micrococcus sp.
Lineage: Bacteria; Bacillati; Actinomycetota; Actinomycetes; Micrococcales; Micrococcaceae
Description: bacterial SSU rRNA
Rfam family: Bacterial small subunit ribosomal RNA
Source: RNAcentral